RNAcentral lists this ribosomal RNA (425 nucleotides) under Burkholderia sp. TK2-F1-8. Its description in RNAcentral is "bacterial SSU rRNA". It matches the Rfam family "Bacterial small subunit ribosomal RNA", at positions 381 to 797 of the family's 1533-position model. Lineage: Bacteria; Pseudomonadati; Pseudomonadota; Betaproteobacteria; Burkholderiales; Burkholderiaceae. The record is from RNAcentral.
AGCUGAUCCAGCAAUGCCGCGUGUGUGAAGAAGGCCUUCGGGUUGUAAAGCACUUUUGUCCGGAAAGAAAUCCUUGGCUCUAAUACAGUCGGGGGAUGACGGUACCGGAAGAAUAAGCACCGGCUAACUACGUGCCAGCAGCCGCGGUAAUACGUAGGGUGCGAGCGUUAAUCGGAAUUACUGGGCGUAAAGCGUGCGCAGGCGGUUUGCUAAGACCGAUGUGAAAUCCCCGGGCUCAACCUGGGAACUGCAUUGGUGACUGGCAGGCUAGAGUAUGGCAGAGGGGGGUAGAAUUCCACGUGUAGCAGUGAAAUGCGUAGAGAUGUGGAGGAAUACCGAUGGCGAAGGCAGCCCCCUGGGCCAAUACUGACGCUCAUGCACGAAAGCGUGGGGAGCAAACAGGAUUAGAUACCCCGUGUAGUCAA